Molecule: ribosomal RNA, 458 nt
Filed under: uncultured bacterium
Lineage: Bacteria
Description: partial 16S ribosomal RNA
Rfam family: Bacterial small subunit ribosomal RNA
Source: RNAcentral
CCUACGGGUGGCAGCAGUGAGGCAUAUUGGUCAAUGGGCGAGAGCCUGAACCAGCCAAGUCGCGUGAGGGAGUACUGCCCUAUGGGUUGUAAACCUCUUUUGUCGGGGAGCAAAAGCCGGAGGUGUCCGGCUGUGAGAGUACCCGAAGAAAAAGCAUCGGCUAACUCCGGGCCAGCAGCCGCGGUAAUACGGAGGAUGCGGACGUUAUCCGGAUUUAUUGGGUUUACAGGGUGCGCAGGCGGAUGUUAAAGGCAGCGGUCAAAUAGUGGGGCCCAACCCCAUCCAGCCGUUGAAUCGGGGGAUCUAGAGUGUGCGAGAGGGAUGCGGAAUGCGUGGUGUAGCGGUGAAAUGCAUAGAUAUCACGCAGAACACCGAUUGCGAAGGCAUCUCACGAAUCCGCGAUUGACGCUGAUGCACGAAAGCGUGGGUAUCAAACAGGAUUAGAUACCCUUGUAGUC